Long non-coding RNA from Oncorhynchus tshawytscha (Chinook salmon), 408 nucleotides. Lineage: Eukaryota; Metazoa; Chordata; Actinopteri; Salmoniformes; Salmonidae. The record is from Ensembl.
UGACAUUUGCGGUUGAUAUAUUAUCGAUUAUAUAUUUUAAAAACAACCUGAGGAUUGAUUAUAAAAAACGUUUGACAUGUUUCUGUGAACAUAAUGGAAACUAUUUGGAAUUUUGGAGGUAUUUUGGAUGUAAAAAUCAUCUUUAUGGAACAAACGGAACAUUUGUUGUGUAACUGGGAGUCUCGUGAGUGAAAACAUCUGACGAUCAUCAAAGAUUCCGUCUCUCGCGGUUGAAGUGUACCUAUGAUCAAAUUUACAGACCUCUACAUGCUUUCUCCCUGAGGACCAGCAUAAGGGGGAGGGGGUAACGGGACGGGCGGCACCUGAUGCGUCUGCGACCUCGACCUCGCCGUCUGGAUUUUCCCUCCCCCCCGGUCUGCCAGGGAGGGGUAUAAUUUGGGUUUAGGU